RNAcentral lists this transfer RNA (72 nucleotides) under Ornithorhynchus anatinus (platypus). It matches the Rfam family "tRNA". From Rfam's summary of the family: Transfer RNA (tRNA) molecules are approximately 80 nucleotides in length. Their secondary structure includes four short double-helical elements and three loops (D, anti-codon, and T loops). Further hydrogen bonds mediate the characteristic L-shaped molecular structure. tRNAs have two regions of fundamental functional importance: the anti-codon, which is responsible for specific mRNA codon recognition, and the 3' end, to which the tRNAs corresponding amino acid is attached (by aminoacyl-tRNA synthetases). tRNAs cope with the degeneracy of the genetic code in two manners: having more than one tRNA (with a specific anti-codon) for a particular amino acid; and 'wobble' base-pairing, i.e. permitting non-standard base-pairing at the 3rd anti-codon position. The record is from Rfam by way of RNAcentral. Lineage: Eukaryota; Metazoa; Chordata; Mammalia; Monotremata; Ornithorhynchidae.
AGCAGCGUGGCUCAGUGGAAAGAGCACGGGCUUGGGAGUCAGAGGUCAUGGGUUCUACUCCCAUCUCUGCCA